RNAcentral lists this ribosomal RNA (763 nucleotides) under Cyphellophora europaea. Its description in RNAcentral is "eukaryotic LSU rRNA". It matches the Rfam family "Eukaryotic large subunit ribosomal RNA", at positions 99 to 879 of the family's 3401-position model. Lineage: Eukaryota; Fungi; Ascomycota; Eurotiomycetes; Chaetothyriales; Cyphellophoraceae. The record is from RNAcentral.
CGGCAACAGCUCAAAUUUGAAAUCUGGCCUCUUCGGGGUCCGAGUUGUAAUUUGGAGAGGAUGUUUCGGGCACGGUCCGGGCUUAUAUUUCUUGGAACAGAAUGUCAUAGAGGGUGAGAAUCCCGUCUGGAGCUCGGACACGACCUAUGUGAAACUCCUUCGACGAGUCGAGUUGUUUGGGAAUGCAGCUCUAAAUGGGUGGUAAAUUUCAUCUAAAGCUAAAUAUUGGCCAGAGACCGAUAGCGCACAAGUAGAGUGAUCGAAAGAUGAAAAGCACUUUGAAAAGAGAGUUAAAAAGUACGUGAAAUUGUUGAAAGGGAAGCGCUGGCGACCAGACUUGCGCGUCGGGGUUCCCCCUUGCUUCUGCUUGGGUUACUCCCCGGCGUUCAGGCCAACAUCGGUUUCGGGGGUUGGUUAAAGGCCUUGGGAAUGUACCUACCCUCCGGGGUAGACUUAUAGCCCAGGGUGUCAUGCGACCUCCCGGGACCGAGGAACGCGCUUCGGCUCGGAUGUUGGCGUAAUGGUUGUCAGCGACCCGUCUUGAAACACGGACCAAGGAGUCUAACAUCUAUGCGAGUGUUAGGGUGUCAAACCCUUACGCGGAAUGAAAGUGAACGGAGGUAGGAAGCCUUAAGGCUGCACUAUCGACCGAUCCUGAAGUUUACGGACGGAUUUGAGUAAGAGCAUAGCUGUUGGGACCCGAAAGAUGGUGAACUAUGCCUGAAUAGGGUGAAGCCAGAGGAAACUCUGGUGGAGGCUCGCA